AAAUUGAAGAGUUUGAUCAUGGCUCAGAUUGAACGCUGGCGGCAGGCCUAACACAUGCAAGUUGAACGGUAACAGGAAGCAGCUUGCUGCUUUGCUGACGAGUGGCGGACGGGUGAGUAAUGUCUGGGAAACUGCCUGAUGGAGGGGGAUAACUACUGGAAACGGUGGCUAAUACCGCAUAACGUCGCAAGACCAAAGAGGGGGACCUUCGGGCCUCUUGCCAUCAGAUGUGCCCAGAUGGGAUUAGCUUGUUGGUGAGGUAACGGCUCACCAAGGCGACGAUCCCUAGCUGGUCUGAGAGGAUGACCAGCCACACUGGAACUGAGACACGGUCCAGACUCCUACGGGAGGCAGCAGUGGGGAAUAUUGCACAAUGGGCGCAAGCCUGAUGCAGCCAUGCCGCGUGUAUGAAGAAGGCCUUCGGGUUGUAAAGUACUUUCAGCGGGGAGGAAGGUGUUGUGGUUAAUAACCGCAGCAAUUGACGUUACCC
Molecule: ribosomal RNA, 490 nt
Filed under: Salmonella enterica
Lineage: Bacteria; Pseudomonadati; Pseudomonadota; Gammaproteobacteria; Enterobacterales; Enterobacteriaceae
Description: bacterial SSU rRNA
Rfam family: Bacterial small subunit ribosomal RNA
Source: RNAcentral